RNAcentral lists this ribosomal RNA (483 nucleotides) under uncultured bacterium. Its description in RNAcentral is "partial 16S ribosomal RNA". It matches the Rfam family "Bacterial small subunit ribosomal RNA", at positions 28 to 507 of the family's 1533-position model. The record is from RNAcentral.
GACGAACGCUGGCGGCGUGCUUAACACGUGCAAGUCGAACGCUGAAGCUCAGCUUUUGUUGGGUGGAUGAGUGGCGAACGGGUGAGUAACACGUGAGUAACCUGCCCCCUUCUUUGGGAUAACGCCCGGAAACGGGUGCUAAUACUGGAUAUUCACUGGUCUUCGCAUGGGGGUUGGUGGAAAGGGUUUUUCUGGUGGGGGAUGGGCUCGCGGCCUAUCAGCUUGUUGGUGGGGUGAUGGCCUACCAAGGCUUUGACGGGUAGCCGGCCUGAGAGGGUGACCGGUCACAUUGGGACUGGGAUACGGCCCAGACUCCUACGGGAGGCGGCAGUGGGGAAUAUUGCAGAAUGGGCGCAAGGCUGAUGCAGCGACGCCGCGUGAGGGAUGGAGGCCUUCGGGUUGUGAACCUCUUUCGCUAAUGGUCAAGCCGCAACAAUGGUUGUGGUGAGGGUAGUGGGUAAAGAAGCGCCGGCUAACUACGUG